RNAcentral lists this ribosomal RNA (464 nucleotides) under uncultured bacterium. RNAcentral's name for it is "partial 16S ribosomal RNA". It matches the Rfam family "Bacterial small subunit ribosomal RNA", at positions 28 to 507 of the family's 1533-position model. The record is from RNAcentral.
GACGAACGCUGGCGGCGUGCCUAACACAUGCAAGUCGAGCGAAUGAAGUUCCUUCGGGAAUGGAUUUAGCGGCGGACGGGUGAGUAACACGUGGGCAACCUGCCUCAUAGAGGGGAAUAGCCUUCCGAAAGGGAGAUUAAUACCGCAUAAGAUUGUAGUAUCGCAUGAUACAGCAAUUAAAGGAGCAGUCCGCUAUGAGAUGGGCCCGCGGCGCAUUAGCUAGUUGGUGAGGUAACGGCUCACCAAGGCGACGAUGCGUAGCCGACCUGAGAGGGUGAUCGGCCACAUUGGGACUGAGACACGGCCCAGACUCCUACGGGAGGCAGCAGUGGGGAAUAUUGCACAAUGGGGGAAACCCUGAUGCAGCAACGCCGCGUGAGUGAUGACGGCCUUCGGGUUGUAAAGCUCUGUCUUCAGGGACGAUAAUGACGGUACCUGAGGAGGAAGCCACGGCUAACUACGUG